This 327-nucleotide ribosomal RNA is filed under the name uncultured bacterium. RNAcentral's name for it is "bacterial SSU rRNA". It matches the Rfam family "Bacterial small subunit ribosomal RNA", at positions 32 to 339 of the family's 1533-position model. The record is from RNAcentral.
AAUCAACGCUGGCGGCGUGCCUCAGACAUGCAAGUCGAACGCGAAACCUUCCUUCGGGAGGGGAGUAGAGUGGCGCACGGGUGAGUAACACGUAGGUAAUCUACCUUUGGGUGGGAAUAACAGCCGGAAACGGCUGCUAAUACCGCAUAAUGCAGCGGCUCGACAUCGAGACAGUUGUUAAAGCGGGGGAUCGUAAGACCUCGCGCCUAAAGAGGAGCCUGCGGCAGAUUAGCUAGUUGGUAGGGUAAUGGCUUACCAAGGCGACGAUCUGUAGCCGGCCUGAGAGGGCGGUCGGCCACACUGACACUGACAUACGGGUCAGACUCC